This 2701-nucleotide ribosomal RNA is filed under the name Lactiplantibacillus pentosus. RNAcentral describes it as "bacterial LSU rRNA". It matches the Rfam family "Bacterial large subunit ribosomal RNA". The record is from RNAcentral. Lineage: Bacteria; Bacillati; Bacillota; Bacilli; Lactobacillales; Lactobacillaceae.
AGGUUAAGUUAACAAGGGCGCAUGGUGAAUGCCUUGGCACUAGGAGCCGAUGAAGGACGGGACUAACACCGAUAUGCUUCGGGGAGCUGUACGUAAGCUAUGAUCCGGAGAUUUCCGAAUGGGGCAACCCAGCAGUUUUAAUCAACUGUUACCACUAGAUGAAUUCAUAGUCUAGUUGGAGGUAAACGCUGUGAACUGAAACAUCUCAUUAGCAGCAGGAAUAUAAAGAAAUUUCGAUUCCCUAAGUAGCGGCGAGCGAACGGGGAACAGCCCAAACCAAAGUGCUUGCACUUUGGGGUUGUAGGACUGAACAUUUGAGUUACCAAAGAACUUGAUAGUCGAAGGAUUUGGGAAAAUCCGCCAUAGAUGGUGAUAGCCCAGUAGAUUAAAUCAAAUUCUCUCAGUUCAGGAUCCUGAGUACGGCGGAACACGUGAAAUUCCGUCGGAAUCCGGGAGGACCAUCUCCCAAGGCUAAAUACUACCUAGUGACCGAUAGUGAACCAGUACCGUGAGGGAAAGGUGAAAAGCACCCCGGGAGGGGAGUGAAAUAGUUCCUGAAACCAUGUGCCUACAAUAAGUCAGAGCGCGUUAAUGCGUGAUGGCGUGCCUUUUGUAGAAUGAACCGGCGAGUUAUGAUCCCGUGCAAGGUUAAGACUAAAAAGUCGGAGCCGUAGCGAAAGCGAGUCUGAAAUGGGCGAUUUGAGUACGAGGUUAUAGACCCGAAACCAGGUGACCUAUCCAUGUCCAGGUUGAAGGUGCGGUAAAACGCACUGGAGGACCGAACCCGUGUAAGUUGAAAAUUGCUGGGAUGAGGUGUGGAUAGCGGUGAAAUUCCAAACGAACUUGGAGAUAGCUGGUUCUCUCCGAAAUAGCUUUAGGGCUAGCCUCGGAUUAAGGAUCAUGGAGGUAGAGCACUAUUUGGACUAGGGGCCCGUCUUGGGUUACUGAAUUCAGAUAAACUCCGAAUGCCAUUGAUUCAUGUCCGGGAGUCAGACGAUGAGUGAUAAGAUCCACCGUCGAAAGGGGAACAGCCCAGACCAUCAGUUAAGGUCCCUAAAUGUAUGCUAAGUGGAAAAGGAUGUGGAGUUGCAUAGACAACUAGGAUGUUGGCUCAGAAGCAGCCACCAUUUAAAGAGUGCGUAAUAGCUCACUAGUCGAGUGAUCCUGCGCCGAAAAUGUACCGGGGCUAAGCAUACUACCGAAACCAUGGAUGCGACCAUUAGGUCGCGUGAUAGGAGAGCGUUCUAAGGGCGGUGAAGCAAGAUCGUGAGGACUUGUGGAGCGCUUAGAAGUGAGAAUGCCGGUAUGAGUAGCGAAAGAUAGGUGAGAAUCCUAUCCACCGAAUGACUAAGGUUUCCUGGGGAAGGCUCGUCCUCCCAGGGUUAGUCGGGACCUAAGUCGAGGCCGAGAGGCGUAGACGAUGGAUAACAGGUUGAGAUUCCUGUACUAGUUAAGUGCGUUUGAGCAAUGGAGGGACGCAGGAGGCUAAGAUGUGCAUUCUGUUGGAUUAGAAUGUCCAAGCAGUAAGUCUUGUGGAGAGUCAAAUGCUUUUCACUUUAAGGACAAGCUGUGAUGGGGAGCGAAAUUUAGUAGCGAAGCGUCUGAUGUCACACUGCCGAGAAAAGCUUCUAGUGAGUACUUAACUACCCGUACCGCAAACCGACACAGGUAGUCGAGGAGAGAAUCCUAAGGUGAGCGAGUGAACUCUCGUUAAGGAACUCGGCAAAAUGACCCCGUAACUUCGGGAGAAGGGGUGCUGAUCGCAAGAUCAGCCGCAGUGAAUAGGCCCAGGCGACUGUUUAUCAAAAACACAGGUCUCUGCAAAAUCGUAAGAUGACGUAUAGGGGCUGACGCCUGCCCGGUGCUGGAAGGUUAAAAGGAUGGGUUAGCUUCGGCGAAGCUCAGAAUUGAAGCCCCAGUAAACGGCGGCCGUAACUAUAACGGUCCUAAGGUAGCGAAAUUCCUUGUCGGGUAAGUUCCGACCCGCACGAAAGGCGUAACGAUCUGGGCACUGUCUCAACGAGAGACUCGGUGAAAUUAUAUUGUCCGUGAAGAUGCGGACUACCCGCGACAGGACGGAAAGACCCCAUGGAGCUUUACUGUAGCUUGAUAUUGAGUGUUUGUACAGCUUGUACAGGAUAGGUAGGAGCCAUAGAAACCGGAACGCUAGUUUCGGUGGAGGCGUUGGUGGGAUACUACCCUCGCUGUAUGACCACUCUAACCCGCACCACUAAUCGUGGUGGGAGACAGUGUCAGGUGGGCAGUUUGACUGGGGCGGUCGCCUCCUAAAAAGUAACGGAGGCGCCCAAAGGUUCCCUCAGAAUGGUUGGAAAUCAUUCGCAGAGUGUAAAGGCACAAGGGAGCUUGACUGCGAGACAGACAGGUCGAGCAGGGACGAAAGUCGGGCUUAGUGAUCCGGUGGUACCGUAUGGAAGGGCCAUCGCUCAACGGAUAAAAGCUACCCUGGGGAUAACAGGCUUAUCUCCCCCAAGAGUCCACAUCGACGGGGAGGUUUGGCACCUCGAUGUCGGCUCAUCGCAUCCUGGGGCUGUAGUCGGUCCCAAGGGUUGGGCUGUUCGCCCAUUAAAGCGGUACGCGAGCUGGGUUCAGAACGUCGUGAGACAGUUCGGUCCCUAUCCGUCGCGGGCGUAGGAAAUUUGAGAGGACCUGUCCUUAGUACGAGAGGACCGGGAUGGACAUA